RNAcentral lists this long non-coding RNA (828 nucleotides) under Nicotiana tabacum (common tobacco). RNAcentral's name for it is "long non-coding RNA (NTAB_LNC003707)". The record is from RNAcentral. Lineage: Eukaryota; Viridiplantae; Streptophyta; Magnoliopsida; Solanales; Solanaceae.
GGGCACCCUUUGAUUUAACUAAUUGCUUCAUGCUCGUAAUGCCCCUAGGCCCAAUUCAAAGCACUACUUGACUAAGACAGACCUGGGUUGCCUGUUAAUACGUCUAAAUUCAAAUGAAAGCUGGCCCAGUACGAAGCUAUUGAACAUGCAAUUCAGAUUAAAACCAAAAUUGAAACCGAUCACGCGUAUUGAACUCAAAGUCAGUUGUAACUUUGCAAAUUUAACUUUAACAGACUACCAAACUGAAAUGAACUGAAAGCUACAGCUAUAUGAAUAUGGAAUGCAACAGUUUAAGCAGUUUGGAAAUGAUUUGAAUCAACCAUCCCUAUUACAGUUCAAUCCAAACGAAUAAGAUAUAUGUAAUCAUUUAUUAGUCAACUGAUUACAGCUACAUACAUCCAACGAGCACAGAUUGACCAAGGUGAUUGCAUUUCAUCCCAAAUUGUGAUUACAUCAAGGUGAUUUUGAAAGUGUACCUGGAAAUUGGAAUGUAAAUAGAGAAGGGGGAGUUAGCAGCAGUAACAACUUAGCAGCAGCUCAAAAAUUAGGAUAAUAAUCCAGUCACAAUCAGUGGAGGAGUAUUAUAGUCCACCCAGGUUCAAAAAUUCAGAAGAAAUGAGUUGAAAUGCAGAGCAAACUCAAUGAAUCAAUCCCAAAACACACUCAGGAAUACCAACCAUCAAAAAUCCUCGAUGAAUGAUUCCAAAUUUUACUUGUUUGAAUUUAGAAACCAUUCGAAAUUAAACCAGGAAAAGUGUUGUGAUUCAGCCAAUAGAACUUCAGAUCUGGAGACUGCAAAAUAUGUUUGGUGGAAUUUUUAGGCUGAAA